AAUUUCGUCAAAUUUUCGAUUUUCGCCAAAUUUUUAAAGUUAUAGAGUUUUGUAAGAAGAAUAUCUUCGUUCAAACUGCACAAUAUAAUUGUCUAUUGUCUGCGACGAAAUUCUGAAAAACCACAACUUA
Molecule: long non-coding RNA, 130 nt
Organism: Bradysia coprophila
Lineage: Eukaryota; Metazoa; Arthropoda; Insecta; Diptera; Sciaridae
Source: RefSeq, a predicted model, not a curated record